GGGGCCAUGGGCUAGUCUGGUAUGCUACCAGGUUUGGGACCUGGCGACCUGAGUUCAAAUCUCAGUGGCCCCA
This 73-nucleotide transfer RNA is filed under the name Candidatus Burarchaeum sp. RNAcentral's name for it is "tRNA-Pro". It matches the Rfam family "tRNA". Rfam says of the family: Transfer RNA (tRNA) molecules are approximately 80 nucleotides in length. Their secondary structure includes four short double-helical elements and three loops (D, anti-codon, and T loops). Further hydrogen bonds mediate the characteristic L-shaped molecular structure. tRNAs have two regions of fundamental functional importance: the anti-codon, which is responsible for specific mRNA codon recognition, and the 3' end, to which the tRNAs corresponding amino acid is attached (by aminoacyl-tRNA synthetases). tRNAs cope with the degeneracy of the genetic code in two manners: having more than one tRNA (with a specific anti-codon) for a particular amino acid; and 'wobble' base-pairing, i.e. permitting non-standard base-pairing at the 3rd anti-codon position. Lineage: Archaea; Nanobdellati; Microcaldota; Candidatus Micrarchaeia; Candidatus Burarchaeales; Candidatus Burarchaeaceae. The record is from RNAcentral.